UGGCUGUCGUCAGCUCGUGUCGUGAGAUGUUGGGUUAAGUCCGUAACGAGCGCAACCCUUGUCCUUAGUUACCAGCACGGUUAUGGUGGGCACUCUAAGGAGACUGCCGGUGACAAACCGGAGGAAGGUGGGGAUGACGUCAAGUCAUCAUGGCCCUUACGGCCUGGGCUACACACGUGCUACAAUGGUCGGUACAAAGGGUUGCCAAGCCGCGAGGUGGAGCUAAUCCCAUAAAACCGAUCGUAGUCCGGAUCGCAGUCUGCAACUCGACUGCGUGAAGUCGGAAUCGCUAGUAAUCGUGAAUCAGAAUGUCACGGUGAGUACGUUCCCGGGCCUU
This 337-nucleotide ribosomal RNA is filed under the name uncultured Pseudomonas sp. Its description in RNAcentral is "bacterial SSU rRNA". It matches the Rfam family "Bacterial small subunit ribosomal RNA", at positions 1046 to 1382 of the family's 1533-position model. Lineage: Bacteria; Pseudomonadati; Pseudomonadota; Gammaproteobacteria; Pseudomonadales; Pseudomonadaceae. The record is from RNAcentral.